GACUUUCAAGAAUUUUUUAUUCGUUUUGCCUUGAAAGCUUAAAGAGGGAGUUAGUAUUCCCGGAGGUCU
This 69-nucleotide transfer RNA is filed under the name Stylochus stellae. Its description in RNAcentral is "tRNA-Ser". Lineage: Eukaryota; Metazoa; Platyhelminthes; Polycladida; Stylochidae. The record is from RNAcentral.